UACGUAGGGGGCAAGCGUUGUCCGGAAUCAUUGGGCGUAAAGAGCGUGUAGGCGGCCAUUUAAGUCUGCUGUGAAAGUCCAGGGCUCAACCCUGGGAUGCCGGUGGAUACUGGAUGGCUCGAGUCCGGAAGAGGAGUGUGGAAUUCCUGGUGUAGCGGUGAAAUGCGCAGAUAUCAGGAGGAACACCAAUGGCGAAGGCAGCACUCUGGGACGUGACUGACGCUGAGACGCGAAAGCGUGGGGAGCAAACAGG
RNAcentral lists this ribosomal RNA (253 nucleotides) under uncultured bacterium. RNAcentral describes it as "partial 16S ribosomal RNA". It matches the Rfam family "Bacterial small subunit ribosomal RNA", at positions 524 to 776 of the family's 1533-position model. The record is from RNAcentral.